CCCCUCCCCUCCCUUCCUUCUUCAAUGUCCUCCCCACAACGCAACCCCCCCACCGCCCGAUUCCGCCCUCCCUUUUCUCCGCUUCCCUCUUGGCAGAGGUGCCAAAGUGGGCAGGCAGACCGAGGCAAUCGCAUCACGGGGCAGAGCAGAGGGCGAACCAAAAGCUGGCGAAUUGAUCAUGUGUGUGUUUGUGUUUUGGUCUGUCCUCGCUCUCUUUCUGUAUGUGUCUGUUCCCAAGUUAGACUCUGCUGUGGUGACACGCAGCUGCAAGUAAGGGCUGUGUGAGAGCAGACGUCCCUCUGUUACUCUCUGUACGGACGGACAUACUCACGCCAGUAGGAGGGGAUUGUGGGAAAAGGGGUGUAGCUCUCAGAGGGUGCGCUCUACUCCUCUCGCUUCCCUUCUUCCCGCCAUCACGGCCCUCUUUUCAGCCAGUCGUCCGGCCCAGCCAGCCCGUCCGCCCGCCCGCCUCACCACAUACAGGCCUCAGGAAAGUGACAUUUAUGGAUCUUUGGUGUGGAUGCAGCAUAGAUUGUGUCCUUGGGGCUGAGGUAGUAGAUUGAAUAGUUGUGGGGUUUUUGAACCUCUUUUUCAGAUAACUAUACAAUCUACUGUCUUUCCCAAGGAGACAGCUGAGCCAACCAGUCAUCAACUAUCGUCUAAAGAUGGAGAAUACAGUUGCCUUGUCAAAAUGCAUGCAGUAAUUGAUAUAUAU
Long non-coding RNA from Gambusia affinis (western mosquitofish), 715 nucleotides. RefSeq lists it as uncharacterized. The record is from RefSeq and is a predicted model, not a curated record. NCBI's taxonomy places the organism in Eukaryota, Metazoa, Chordata, Actinopteri, Cyprinodontiformes, Poeciliidae. The transcript has 3 exons.